RNAcentral lists this ribosomal RNA (460 nucleotides) under Salmonella enterica. RNAcentral describes it as "bacterial SSU rRNA". It matches the Rfam family "Bacterial small subunit ribosomal RNA", at positions 11 to 472 of the family's 1533-position model. The record is from RNAcentral. Lineage: Bacteria; Pseudomonadati; Pseudomonadota; Gammaproteobacteria; Enterobacterales; Enterobacteriaceae.
GUUGAUCCUGGCUCAGAUUGAACGCUGGCGGCAGGCCUAACACAUGCAAGUCGAACGGUAACAGGAAGCAGCUUGCUGCUUCGCUGACGAGUGGCGGACGGGUGAGUAAUGUCUGGGAAACUGCCUGAUGGAGGGGGAUAACUACUGGAAACGGGUGGCUAAUACCGCAUAACGUCGCAAGACCAAAGAGGGGGACCUCGGGCCUCUUGCCAUCAGAUGUGCCCAGAUGGGAUUAGCUUGUUGGUGAGGUAACGGCUCACCAAGGCGACGAUCCCUAGCUGGUCUGAGAGGAUGACCAGCCACACUGGAACUGAGACACGGUCAGACUGUACGGGAGGCAGCAGUGGGGAAUAUUGCACAAUGGCGCAAGCCUGAUGCAGCCAUGCCGCGUGUAUGAAGAAGGGCUCGGGUUGUAAAGUACUUCAGCGGGAAGAGAGGUGUUGGGUUAAUAACCACAGCA